Molecule: long non-coding RNA, 1070 nt
Organism: Spinacia oleracea (spinach)
Lineage: Eukaryota; Viridiplantae; Streptophyta; Magnoliopsida; Caryophyllales; Amaranthaceae
Exons: 2
Source: RefSeq, a predicted model, not a curated record
UAUUAUGGAGUAUAGAGUAUUGGUUUAGGUUGGUUGUCUAUGUUUCUCUUCAUUAACCCACUUUCUCUUUCUUUAAAUGAUUUUUUUUGUCUAUUCUUUAAAAAGGAAAAACGAUAUAUUCAAGGCCCAACGUGCCAAGUGUUAUACGAUCUAUUUUUCAAAGCAUAUAAUAAUUUUUCGCUGUUUCUAAGGGGUCCUUUACUUCUUUUUGCCCCGGGCCCCCAAAAUAUCAGGAAAGGCCCUGCCACCACUUAGCUAGGCAGAUCAAGCUUUAUAUGCUUGAAUUGUUCCCUUGACCCUUCUAACUUCAGUAUUGCUAAAAUUCUACUUUGUAAUACAUACUUGAAUUAACAAAUAGAGCUAUUAUAGACGAUUAAUAAAUGUGUUAAUGCGAAAUUAAAGGGUUGAACUUGUAAGCAAUUAAAGGGGAAACAUUCACUUAUAAUAGAAUACUUAUGUGAUAGGUUACUGAAUUAAGUUAUGUUAGUUUCUAUAAAUGAUUGUAAAAUAAGAUUGCAAUUUUCAUAGUUCAUAUCAUACACUUAUAAUCAUAAAGAAUACAUUUAUCUACAGUUUUCUUCGUUAAAUAAUCUGUUUAACUACUUUACCAUCAGAGUUUAAGCAAAUGGCGAGAAUUUCCACCACAUUCUUCAUCAUUAGCGUCAUAUUGAUAGUUUUUCUAACCACAUGUAGUCUAACAUUGGCCCAAUACAUUGGAGAUAAUACUGGGAUUUUAUGUACGUCGGUUGGUGGAACUUGUGGAAUCCCAGGAGUUUAUGAUUGUUGUGACAGAAUGAUCUGCUUCUUGUUGAAUCCCGAAAACCCUUAUGCCGGUGGAGUUUGUAGGUAUUAAUCUCAUCGAGGGCAUGCCAUUGGUUCUGGAUUACGAGAUUACCAAGCUUCUCGAUCAUUUUCUUCGACUAUAGCUAGCACUUCUUAAUUUCACAAAUAACGUCGAAUUUGCAACUUUUCGAUAGUUGAUAUGUAAGAUCGAGUAUAUGUAGUUUGAAUGUUUGAUGUAUGCCUAAGAUUUAAUAUAAAUUUAGUAUUUGGGAUCCCUUUGAGGUUGA